RNAcentral lists this ribosomal RNA (504 nucleotides) under uncultured bacterium. Its description in RNAcentral is "partial 16S ribosomal RNA". It matches the Rfam family "Bacterial small subunit ribosomal RNA", at positions 28 to 523 of the family's 1533-position model. The record is from RNAcentral.
GAUGAACGUUAGCGGCAGGCCUAAUACAUGCAAGUCGAACGGGAUCUGAGGGUAGCUUGCUACCCGAUUUGAGAGUGGCGCACGGGUGCGUAACGCGUGAGCAACCUACCCAUAUCAGGGGGAUAGCCCGGAGAAAUUCGGAUUAACACCGCAUAAGAAUGUAUUAACACAUGUUAAAGCAUUUAAAUAUUUAUAGGAUAUGGAUGGGCUCGCGUGACAUUAGCUAGUUGGUGAGGUAACGGCUCACCAAGGCGACGAUGUCUAGGGGCUCUGAGAGGAGAAUCCCCCACACUGGUACUGAGGCACGGACCAGACGCCUACGGGAGGAAGCAGUAAGGAAUAUUGGUCAAUGGGCGGAAGCCGGAACCAGCCAUGCCGCGUGCAGGACGACUGCCCUAUGGGUUGUAAACUGCUUUUGUCGAGGAAUAAACCUAUCUACGUGUAGAUAGUUGAACGUACUCGAAGAAUAAGGAUCGGCUAACUCCGUGCCAGCAGCCGCGGUAA